This 576-nucleotide ribosomal RNA is filed under the name uncultured bacterium. Its description in RNAcentral is "partial 16S ribosomal RNA". It matches the Rfam family "Bacterial small subunit ribosomal RNA", at positions 355 to 922 of the family's 1533-position model. The record is from RNAcentral.
UGGGGAAUAUUGGACAAUGGGCGCAAGCCUGAUCCAGCAAUGCCGCGUGUGUGAAGAAGGCCUUCGGGUUGUAAAGCACUUUUAUCAGGAGCGAAACGCUGUCGGCUAAUACCCGGCGGAACUGACGGUACCUGAGGAAUAAGCACCGGCUAACUUCGUGCCAGCAGCCGCGGUAAUACGAAGGGUGCAAGCGUUAAUCGGAAUUACUGGGCGUAAAGCGUGCGUAGGCGGUUUCUUAAGUCUGCUGUGAAAUCCCCGGGCUCAACCUGGGAAUGGCAGUGGAUACUGGGAGGCUAGAGUGUGUCAGAGGGUGGUGGAAUUCCCGGUGUAGCGGUGAAAUGCGUAGAGAUCGGGAGGAACAUCAGUGGCGAAGGCGGCCACCUGGGACAACACUGACGCUNAGGCACGAAAGCGUGGGGAGCAAACAGGAUUAGAUACCCUGGUAGUCCACGCCCUAAACGAUGCGAACUGGAUGUUGGUCUCAACUCGGAGAUCAGCGUCGAAGCUAACGCGUUAAGUUCGCCGCCUGGGGAGUACGGUCGCAAGACUGAAACUCAAAGGAAUUGACGGGGUCAU